Molecule: ribosomal RNA, 492 nt
Filed under: uncultured bacterium
Lineage: Bacteria
Description: partial 16S ribosomal RNA
Rfam family: Bacterial small subunit ribosomal RNA
Source: RNAcentral
AGUGAACGCUGGCGGUAGGCCUAACACAUGCAAGUCGAACGGCAGCACAGUAAGAGCUUGCUCUUACGGGUGGCGAGUGGCGGACGGGUGAGGAAUACAUCGGAAUCUACUUUUUCGUGGGGGAUAACGUAGGGAAACUUACGCUAAUACCGCAUACGACCUACGGGUGAAAGCAGGGGAUCUUCGGACCUUGCGCGAUUGAAUGAGCCGAUGUCGGAUUAGCUAGUUGGCGGGGUAAAGGCCCACCAAGGCGACAAUCCGUAGCGGGUCUGAGAGGAUGAUCAGCCACACUGUAACUGAGACACGGUCCAGACUCCUACGGGAGGCAGCAGUGGGGAAUAUUGGACAAUGGGCGCAAGCCUGAUCCAGCCAUACCGCGUGGGUGAAGAAGGCCUUCGGGUUGUAAAGCCCUUUUGUUGGGAAAGAAAAGCAGCAGGUUAAUACCCCGCUGUUCUGACGGUACCCAAAGAAUAAGCACCGGCUAACUUCGUG